This 1440-nucleotide ribosomal RNA is filed under the name uncultured organism. RNAcentral describes it as "16S ribosomal RNA". It matches the Rfam family "Bacterial small subunit ribosomal RNA". The record is from RNAcentral.
CAGGCUUAACACAUGCAAGUCGAGGGGCAUCAGGAAGAAAGCUUGCUUUCUUUGCUGGCGACCGGCGCACGGGUGAGUAACACGUAUCCAACCUGCCCUUUACUCGGGGAUAGCCUUUCGAAAGAAAGAUUAAUACCCGAUAGCAUAAUGAUUCCGCAUGGUUUCAUUAUUAAAGGAUUCCGGUAAAGGAUGGGGAUGCGUUCCAUUAGGUUGUUGGUGAGGUAACGGCCCACCAAGCCUUCGAUGGAUAGGGGUUCUGAGAGGAAGGUCCCCCACAUUGGAACUGAGACACGGUCCAAACUCCUACGGGAGGCAGCAGUGAGGAAUAUUGGUCAAUGGGCGCUAGCCUGAACCAGCCAAGUAGCGUGAAGGAUGAAGGCUCUAUGGGUCGUAAACUUCUUUUAUAUAAGAAUAAAGUGCAGUAUGUAUACUGUUUUGUAUGUAUUAUAUGAAUAAGGAUCGGCUAACUCCGUGCCAGCAGCCGCGGUAAUACGGAGGAUCCGAGCGUUAUCCGGAUUUAUUGGGUUUAAAGGGAGCGUAGGUGGACUGGUAAGUCAGUUGUGAAAGUUUGCGGCUCAACCGUAAAAUUGCAGUUGAUACUGUCAGUCUUGAGUACAGUAGAGGUGGGCGGAAUUCGUGGUGUAGCGGUGAAAUGCUUAGAUAUCACGAAGAACUCCGAUUGCGAAGGCAGCUCACUGGACUGCAACUGACACUGAUGCUCGAAAGUGUGGGUAUCAAACAGGAUUAGAUACCCUGGUAGUCCACACAGUAAACGAUGAAUACUCGCUGUUUGCGAUAUACAGUAAGCGGCCAAGCGAAAGCAUUAAGUAUUCCACCUGGGGAGUACGCCGGCAACGGUGAAACUCAAAGGAAUUGACGGGGGCCCGCACAAGCGGAGGAACAUGUGGUUUAAUUCGAUGAUACGCGAGGAACCUUACCCGGGCUUAAAUUGCAGUGGAAUGAUGUGGAAACAUGUCAGUGAGCAAUCACCGCUGUGAAGGUGCUGCAUGGUUGUCGUCAGCUCGUGCCGUGAGGUGUCGGCUUAAGUGCCAUAACGAGCGCAACCCUUAUCUUUAGUUACUAACAGGUUAUGCUGAGGACUCUAGAGAGACUGCCGUCGUAAGAUGUGAGGAAGGUGGGGAUGACGUCAAAUCAGCACGGCCCUUACGUCCGGGGCUACACACGUGUUACAAUGGGGGGUACAGAAGGCAGCUAGCGGGUGACCGUAUGCUAAUCCCAAAAUCCUCUCUCAGUUCGGAUCGAAGUCUGCAACCCGACUUCGUGAAGCUGGAUUCGCUAGUAAUCGCGCAUCAGCCACGGCGCGGUGAAUACGUUCCCGGGCCUUGUACACACCGCCCAUCAAGCCAUGGGAGCCGGGGGUACCUGAAGUACGUAACCGCAAGGAUCGUCCUAGGGUAAAACUGGUGACUGGGGCUAAGU